UCUAAAUUUGCACUAAUAUUAUUUAUUAACUAUAAAUAAACUUUAGUUAGAAUCAGGUUGCCAUGUUUAUAUGUGUGUAAGACAGAUGCGGAUGCAGGUGUAGAAUCUUCUUGAACUCCUUGGACUCCAGUUAUCUACACUCAUAUAACACUCAUAACUCAUAACUCAUAAGAUAGAUAUUUCACGUGACGGUGACGCCAUUAAAUAAACAUUAAACACCUAAACAAACAAUUAGCCAAUAGUCAUUGUCCAUCAGUGGGAGACAUGGUUACAGUCAUAGAUAAAAGGUUCACGGCGUUCACGCAACAAACCAACAAAGGCUUCCGUAGUUUCGUUCAUCAGAGUACCUUCAGAGUUCAG
Molecule: long non-coding RNA, 360 nt
Organism: Diuraphis noxia (Russian wheat aphid)
Lineage: Eukaryota; Metazoa; Arthropoda; Insecta; Hemiptera; Aphididae
Source: RefSeq, a predicted model, not a curated record